UACGUAGGGGGCAAGCGUUGUCCGGAUUUACUGGGCGUAAAGAGCGCGUAGGCGGACGCUUAAGUGUGGCCUGAAAGCCCCCGGCUCAACCGGGGAAGGUGGCUGCAAACUGGGCGUCUUGAGGGCGAUAGAGGAGAGUGGAAUUCCUGGUGUAGCGGUGAAAUGCGUAGAUAUCAGGAGGAACACCGGUGGCGAAGGCGGCUACCUGGACCGGUUCUGACGCUGAGGCGCGAAAGCGUGGGUAGCAAACAGG
This 253-nucleotide ribosomal RNA is filed under the name uncultured bacterium. RNAcentral describes it as "partial 16S ribosomal RNA". It matches the Rfam family "Bacterial small subunit ribosomal RNA", at positions 524 to 776 of the family's 1533-position model. The record is from RNAcentral.